AUGGAAACAUCUUCUCUCAUCCUUAAUAUGUAUUCAUGUCUUCCUCUCGGAGUAUAGGCUUGGCGAACUCUAGACGGCCUGCGGUUAGGCAACCGAGUUGGAGCCUUUGUUCCAUGUCUUUACUUUUUCCCUCUCCCUCCUUCUCUCUCUGUCUCUUCCUGAAUAAUGGCUUUGCAUACGCAGACGCGUCUUUGCUGAAAAACCUACAUGGUUAUUGACUCUGCAAGCAAGAGAAAAUCACUCAAAAAAGUCCCUCAGCGUCUUGCACCAUUCACUUUGCUUCAUUGCAUGGCACAACUCACCUCGCUGAUUCAUGAUUUGGAAUUACCAAAUCAAGAUUUGGUGUGUGUGUGCGCGCGUAAUGGGCUCUUGGAAGCAUUUCUUUGCAAGAUCCCCGGCGUGGGUCGGACCGGAGCGACGAUCAGCAGCAGUGCUCUAUUUAUAAAGAGGCUAUGAUGACUGCCAGAGCGAGAUGCGCCUAAAGAGGCUUCUUGGUUUAGUAAGAGAGAGAGAGAGAGAGAGAGAGAGAGGAGAGAGAGAGAGAUGGAAGUGAAGCAUUCCUGUUCAUCUUGUUGUAGUGGCAGGGCAAGCUUGGACGGUCUGCUACACCGCAGGCAACCGCUUGCAGCCACCUCAUGGUUAAGGUGCAGAGGAACUUGCAAUCCCUUAUUUUCCAAUGGCAGAUCUGAGCCUUCUUUUCCUCUUUCCCUUGUUCGCUCUGUUUGGCCUCUGAUUUAAGUACUGUUUUUAAGUUUUUCUUUUAUUUUUUUAAAUUUUUCUACACCUGGUGACCUUUGAAAGAUUUGAUUUGUUCCUGACGUCCCUUGUUAACCAAAAUGAUAGGGUGAUGAAUGAAGGAUUGGAGAAAUAUUUUGCAUUAUGAGAAGCCAGGUUUCCGGAAUCCUUAAUAAAUAUUAUCAGCUCCAGCGAACUGACAGACCGUAUCAGCUGAAGCAUGAAGCUACCGUGUCCAUUUAAGCAUUGGCUUAGCAUCAACUGAAGGACCAUCCAGAAUUAAAGGCAAAAGAACUUGAAUGAUUGCAUCAGAAGGUAUUUCACACCCUGAGAGUCAGGUAUGGGACCUGGGCCUCACCUUCUUCCUCCAUAUAUCUAUCGCGGAUGAUGAUUUCUUCCUUUCCCUGGGCUUCACUCAGUCUUGUCAUGUAUGAACACAUUGGUGGGUCUUGCAACAAUAUAUGCAUGAGCUGUGGUUCAUCUUUUUCUCCCCCGCUCCAUUCCCCCCAUUCCCCACCAAAUAAGGGAAUUUGCAAAACAUAUUUCUGUCUUCUUAAAUGAAAGUUUCCUUUUGGACAACAGCAGUCUUUUGGGAUGGUUUUUGGAGCGAGAUAUAUCAUAAAGAU
This 1361-nucleotide long non-coding RNA is filed under the name Phoenix dactylifera (date palm). Its description in RNAcentral is "long non-coding RNA (PDAC_LNC005999)". The record is from RNAcentral. Lineage: Eukaryota; Viridiplantae; Streptophyta; Magnoliopsida; Arecales; Arecaceae.